This 468-nucleotide ribosomal RNA is filed under the name uncultured bacterium. RNAcentral's name for it is "partial 16S ribosomal RNA". It matches the Rfam family "Bacterial small subunit ribosomal RNA", at positions 28 to 507 of the family's 1533-position model. The record is from RNAcentral.
GACGAACGCUGGCGGCGUGCUUAACACAUGCAAGUCGAACGGAAAGGCCCUGCUUUUGUGGGGUGCUCGAGUGGCGAACGGGUGAGUAACACGUGAGUAACCUGCCCUUGACUUUGGGUUAACUUCAGGAAACUGGGGCUAAUACCGGAUAGGAGCUCCUGCUGCAUGGUGGGGGUUGGAAAGUUUCGGCGGUUGGGGAUGGACUCGCGGCCUAUCAGCUUGUUGGUGGGGUAGUGGCUUACCAAGGCUUUGACGGGUAGCCGGCCUGAGAGGGUGACCGGCCACAUUGGGACUGAGAUACGGCCCAGACUCCUACGGGAGGCAGCAGUGGGGAAUAUUGCACAAUGGGCGGAAGCCUGAUGCAGCAACGCCGCGUGCGGGAUGACGGCCUUCGGGUUGUAAACCGCUUUCGCCUGUGACGAAGCGUGAGUGACGGUAAUGGGUAAAGAAGCACCGGCUAACUACGUG